Molecule: long non-coding RNA, 982 nt
Organism: Salarias fasciatus (jewelled blenny)
Lineage: Eukaryota; Metazoa; Chordata; Actinopteri; Blenniiformes; Blenniidae
Exons: 4
Source: RefSeq, a predicted model, not a curated record
CCAGAGUUGACAAAACCAGAGUAACUCCAGAUUAAAUCAAUCCAGGAAACAUCCAGUGUUUAUUUGCUUUUUUAUUUCCCUCUGUUUGCCCCGCCCUGCUCUCGUUUAGUUUCUGAAGAAAUAAAGCCUCAGAUGACAGAAGCAGUUUCCAUUUGUCCUUUUACUCUGACAGAGACAUGGAUCCCGUCACUGGUCUGGCCAUGGUAGCAGGUGCAGCGGGAGCUGUGGUUGCUGCUCCUGUUGUUUUGGGGGCUGCAGGGUUCACCUCAGCUGGAAUAGCAGCCGGCUCAUAUGCUGCAGGGAUGAUGUCCUCUGCAGCGAUUGCCAAUGGAGGAGGAGUGGCAGCUGGAAGUGUGGUGGCUGUUCUGCAGUCAGCAGGUAUGGCUGGUCUAUCAACGGCUGCCUCUGCAGCUGUGGGUGGUGUUGGAGCAGCAGCAGGAUACGUAGCAAGUCUCUUUUUUUGAAGAAAUGUUACAGAAAUCCCGUGUCUGCUUUUUGAAAUUGACAAUGCUGUUGCGCAAUGUUCUUGAGAUCUACAAAGAGAUCUACAAAGUGUUUCAGCAUAAUGUUCAUUUCCCUACAUGAUUCUUGCUCCAUCGUUCAGCUUAUUAAAAAAAAAACGUCUGAACAAAGCGUUCAUGGUCAUUUGGUCUUUUGCAGCUGAAGCUGAAUGGGUCUGACCAGUUUAGGAAUGUUGUUUAUUUUCUUUUUCUGAUAUUACAGUUGACAGAAAAACAUUGCACAUGCAUACAUAUAUUCACAUGCAAUGAAAAGACAAGGGUUUCCUCUUCAAUAAUGACACAUUUCAGGCAAUACAAGGUGAAAUAGCAUCUUUGCAGGGAAACAGUUUUCUUUUUCUUUUUGCGCAAUUUUCUUGAGAUGUACAAUGAGAUCUACAAAUUGUUUCAGCAUAAUGUUUAUUUCCCUACACAGUCCUUGCACUGUCAUUCAGCUUAUUAAAGAAAAAAAUUUGAACAAAGUG